Molecule: ribosomal RNA, 219 nt
Filed under: uncultured bacterium
Lineage: Bacteria
Description: partial 16S ribosomal RNA
Rfam family: Bacterial small subunit ribosomal RNA
Source: RNAcentral
ACGCUCGACACCUACGGGGGGCAGCAGUGAGGAAUAUUGGUCAAUGGGCGCUAGCCUGAACCAGCCAAGUAGCGUGAAGGAUGAAGGCUCUAUGGGUCGUAAACUCCUUUUAUAUAAGAAUAAAGUGCAGUAUGUAUACUGUUUUGUAUGUAUUAUAUGAAUAAGGGUCGGCUAACUCCGUGCUAGCAGCCGCGGUAAUCUGAGGCGGGCUGGCAAGGC